GAUGAAGAACGUAGUGAAAUGCGAUAAGUAAUGUGAAUUGCAGAAUUCAGUGAAUCAUCGAAUCUUUGAACGCACAUUGCGCCCCUUGGUAUUCCGGGGGGCAUGCCUGUUCGAGCGUCAUUAUAACCCCUCAAGCUCAGCUUGGUGUUGGGGCCUGCCAACUGGCAGCCCUUAAAAUCAGUGGCGGCGCCAUCUGGCUCUAAGCGUAGUAAUUUCUCUCGCUAUAGGGUCCCGGUGGAUGCUUGCCAACAACCCCCAAUUUUCUAUGGUUGACCUCGGAUCAGGUAGGGAUACCCGCUGAACUUAAGCAUAUCAAAAGCGGAGGA
RNAcentral lists this unclassified non-coding RNA (326 nucleotides) under soil metagenome. RNAcentral's name for it is "partial contains 5.8S ribosomal RNA, internal transcribed spacer 2, and large subunit ribosomal RNA". The stretch from base 1 to 120 matches the Rfam family "5.8S ribosomal RNA", at positions 35 to 154 of the family's 154-position model. The record is from RNAcentral.